RNAcentral lists this unclassified non-coding RNA (342 nucleotides) under soil metagenome. Its description in RNAcentral is "partial contains 5.8S ribosomal RNA, internal transcribed spacer 2, and large subunit ribosomal RNA". The stretch from base 1 to 120 matches the Rfam family "5.8S ribosomal RNA", at positions 35 to 154 of the family's 154-position model. The record is from RNAcentral.
GAUGAAGAACGCAGCGAAAUGCGAUAAGUAAUGUGAAUUGCAGAAUUCAGUGAAUCAUCGAAUCUUUGAACGCACAUUGCGCCCGCCAGCACUCUGGCGGGCAUGCCUGUUCGAGCGUCAUUUCAACCAUCAAGCCCCCAGGGGCUUGUGCUGGGGCCCUGCGGCUGCCCGCAGGCCCUGAAAACCAGUGGCGGGCUCGCUAGUCACACCGAGCGCAGUAGCACAUCUCGCUCAGGGCGUGCGGCGGGCUCCUGCCGUGAAACCCCCCACUGUAACCCCAAAGGUUGACCUCGGAUCAGGUAGGAAUACACGCUGAACUUAAGCAUAUCAAUAAGCGGAGGA